CAAAGCGUAGCUAAAUUAGGAAAGCAUCUCCCUUACACUGAGAAGUUACCCGUGCAAAUCAGGGCGCCUUGA
Molecule: transfer RNA, 72 nt
Filed under: Liparis tessellatus (cubed snailfish)
Lineage: Eukaryota; Metazoa; Chordata; Actinopteri; Perciformes; Liparidae
Description: tRNA-Val
Rfam family: tRNA
About the family: Transfer RNA (tRNA) molecules are approximately 80 nucleotides in length. Their secondary structure includes four short double-helical elements and three loops (D, anti-codon, and T loops).
Source: RNAcentral